CACAAUAAUUGCUCUGGAAUAAGGCAAGAGAGUGAGGGUUCUUCUCGUGGAAUGGAAAUGCUGCCCUGAGAAAGAGUCAGCCCCUGGAGCGUCCAUCCUCUGUGAAGUUAAGCUCUCUCCCUUGACCCCAGCCCAGGUCCCUGCAUAAAAUUAUCCCACUUUCAGACCUUCGUAUGUCAGAUCUGGCAAACUGGCUUCUGGGUGAAAUUCCUUUGGAUUUGUGCCUGCUUAGCCCUGCUUUGUUUUGGACCAGUUCCUGGCUUUGUGGACAGGCCCCCUGCCUCCCCGCCAGGUGACCUGGAGUGUCAGGAAAUCGGCGCAUUGCACCUUGGAGCUGUUUCCUUCUCCUCCACCACGGCAGAUUAGAAGCGGGACAGCCGGCUCUGGGCCCAGGCUCCGAACAUGCACGCCACGCCACAGUCCCGGGUGCAGUUUGAACAAGACCCAUUGGAUUCAGCGGGAGCAGCAGAGCUCGAGACCGGGUCCUUGGAAAGACUGCUGCGGGCGACGAGCCACCGUCUCAGAGCAUCGGCUGCUGCGAGGUUGCGGGGCUUCCCAAGCCUCCAGUGCGGUCGCCUGGAGAACAGAGAGUUCCUCGGCUCUCUUCUAGGAAGACUUGCCCAGAAGGACGACAACGUUUCCACUGUGGGUCUGUCCUCUGCCUUCACUGAGCUGGAGGCAGAGGGGUUUCAGAACCUCGGGAGUUUAGGUAGGAAAAGUUUCCCCUUCAUUGAAGACACAGACUUGCAAUUUGCUGCCUCAGACUGUUCGUGAUUGUCCGUGGUGGCAGCCGCAUGGCACUGCCUCUGGACCAUCCCGUGAUGCUACAGUCCAUGCCCAGCUCAGGCCUGAUGCCCUUGGAAGGGCUUUCCCUGUUCUUGGAGUCCAGAAGACCCUCACCCCACGGCCCGGGGGCACACAUCAAGGAGGCCGCCUCCCCAGCCCCGGUGCCUCUGUAGCUGCUGGCUCUCAUCCUCCUUAUGGCUCGAAGCACGUGGUGUCUCCUGCUAGGCUGUGGGCUCCUUGAGGCCAGCGGCUUUCUCCACGACGUCCAUUUGCUAUUCUAGUGCUUGGAGCCGUGCAUGAAGCGUCUGCUAAAUUUAUGUGUGUUCUAACGACUUCUUGAGAACAUGAACAUGACAGAUGCUCGAAUGUGGCCCUUGAAGUAACAAGUGACACGAGACAAACCUCCUCUUUCAGGUCUUGUGGGAAACUUGCUGGAGUGUGGAGAAUCCAGAGUUAUAAUCGUGAAGUUUGGAAGCAAAUACUAAAGGGGGGAACCUCACAGCUGUGCUGUACCUCGCUUGGUAAAAUUUCAGCUUCCUGCAAAGCCAUCAGCGAGGCAUUUCAAACAAAUCAAGUGAUAGCUGGCGUAGAUUUGGGGGCCCUUGUUAUCAAAAUCAAUCCUCUGGAUCAUCCUUUUGUAAAGUAUAAAACCAUUCCCAAAAUUAUGUUUUGUGUGAAUUCAAAUGUAAACAUUGGGCUCAUUUAAAUUCAUGUGUUAACCACAUGGCCCAUGAAAAUGAAACCACUGACACCUUUUGGGGAAGAACGAAAGUUGGGUUAUUUUUCCGGUGUGGAGCUGGGUCCUCACGGACGGAGCCUCUGACGCUCCUUGGUUGAGUCUCUGCAUGGCCGGUGGAAGGUGGGUCGGGCGCGGGCGCACACAGACCUGUGGAGC
Molecule: long non-coding RNA, 1681 nt
Filed under: Equus caballus (horse)
Lineage: Eukaryota; Metazoa; Chordata; Mammalia; Perissodactyla; Equidae
Description: lncRNA (ENSECAG00000059379.1)
Source: RNAcentral